AUUCCAGCUCCAAGAGCGUAUAUUAAAGUUGCUGCGGUUAAAAAGCUCGUAGUUGGAUUUCAGUCUAGGAAGGUUAACUCGCCGAAAGGUUGUACGUUGAUUUUCCUCAGACUUCGUCAGAAGCUCGUGCUGCACUUAACUGUGUGGUACGAUGUUCUGACCUUUUACCUUGAGGAAAGUAGAGUGUUUCAGGCAGGCUACCCAGCUUGAAUACAUUAGCAUGGAAUAAUGAAAUGGAUCUCGGUUCGAUUUCGUUGGUUCUAGAGCUGAGGUGAUGAUCAAUAGGAACAGGCGAAGGUAUUCGUACUUGAGAGUGAGGAGUGAAAUCCGAUGAUCCCUUAAAGACGAUCCGAGGCGAAAGCAUUUGUCAAGGAUGUUUUCAUUG
Molecule: ribosomal RNA, 385 nt
Filed under: Eukaryota sp.
Lineage: Eukaryota
Description: partial small subunit ribosomal RNA
Rfam family: Eukaryotic small subunit ribosomal RNA
Source: RNAcentral